Molecule: ribosomal RNA, 273 nt
Filed under: uncultured bacterium
Lineage: Bacteria
Description: partial 16S ribosomal RNA
Rfam family: Bacterial small subunit ribosomal RNA
Source: RNAcentral
UACGUAGGGUGCAAGCGUUAAUCGGAAUUACUGGGCGUAAAGCGUGCGCAGGCGGUUAUAUAAGACAGAUGUGAAAUCCCCGGGCUCAACCUGGGAACUGCAUUUGUGACUGUAUAGCUAGAGUACGGCAGAGGGGGAUGGAAUUCCGCGUGUAGCAGUGAAAUGCGUAGAUAUGCGGAGGAACACCGAUGGCGAAGGCAAUCCCCUGGGCCUGUACUGACGCUCAUGCACGAAAGCGUGGGGAGCAAACAGGAUUAGAUACCCCCGUAGUCC